RNAcentral lists this transfer RNA (85 nucleotides) under Felis catus (domestic cat). It matches the Rfam family "tRNA". From Rfam's summary of the family: Transfer RNA (tRNA) molecules are approximately 80 nucleotides in length. Their secondary structure includes four short double-helical elements and three loops (D, anti-codon, and T loops). Lineage: Eukaryota; Metazoa; Chordata; Mammalia; Carnivora; Felidae. RNAcentral also lists the same sequence under 2 other names. The record is from Rfam by way of RNAcentral.
ACCUAGGUGGCUCAGUUGGUUGAGUGUCUGACUUCUGCUCAGGUUAUGAUCUCAUGGUUUGUGAGUUCAAGCCCCACAUUGGGCU